RNAcentral lists this long non-coding RNA (1765 nucleotides) under Zea mays. RNAcentral's name for it is "long non-coding RNA (ZMAY_LNC002477)". The record is from RNAcentral. Lineage: Eukaryota; Viridiplantae; Streptophyta; Magnoliopsida; Poales; Poaceae.
CACCGAGCCGGGCAGCCGACCGCACCGCGCCGCCGCCAGACCGAGCGCCGUCCGAGCGCCGUCAACCCCAGCUCCAGUCCACUGCUCUAGGCGCCGUCAACCCUGCGUCCAAGAAUGCAGCAGCCUCACGCCGGCGCAUCAGGUCCCAACAGCGGGCACUCCUCGGCGGCCACCAUCGUCGGCUCGUCGGCGGGGGCUCGUCAGCAGCAGCAAGAGGCAACUCACGCCCGAACCCUCGAUCCGUGGCCCCGUCGUGCAGCUCGGUAAUGUUGUUGCUUUACCAACGAUGACAGUCCACUUAGUAUGGUUUACAACUAUUAGUAACUUUGCUCAUAUUAUUGUGAUGGAUAAUGACAGCGCCAUGGAUGUCGAUGAUAUUUGUGACAACAAUGUGUCCCAUGAAGAUGAAAUACAUGGUAGUAGGGAGGAUGUUAAUGGUAACAACAGUGAACACAUGGUGGAGGACCAUGUUCCUGCACCUAGUGAGGUGAAUGUCCUGUGCCAACAAGUUAGUCGUGGAAAAAACAAGUCCAUAGAUGGAGACCAUCGUGUAGAGAAAUGUGCAAGAGAAUGUGACCUAGACCCUAAAAAAUCUCUUUCCUUGGAUGUUGCAACAAGAUGGAAUUCCACAUAUAUUAUGGUUAGAGAUGCCAUUUACUAUAAGAAUGCUUUUGAUCGCCUUGCAAAAAAAGAAAAGGAUAGAUAUGGUCAUAUCAAUCCUUCAGCUAAUGAUUGGUUGAAUGCAUUAAACAUUAGCAAGUGUUUGAAGAAGUUCUAUGAUGUCACAUUACUUUUUUCUGGCACUUCAUAUCCUACUGCAAAUCAUUUCUUUCGUAAAUUCUCUGAGAUAAAGAUGGCUAUUGCAAGAUGGUGUGAUAGUAGUGAUCCCAUAAUCUGCACCAUGGCAUAUUCUAUGAGAGACAAGUUUGAUAAGUAUUGGGAAAUGAACAAUAUGGCUUUGGCAGUGGGAGCAUUUCUUGAUCCUAGGUACAAACAUAGAAUGGUUGAGCUAUACAUGUCUAAGAUGUAUGAUAGUGAGAUGGCUGAUUUGGAGAAAAUGGCAUUCAUGAAUGUUAUUAAUGAAUUAUUUUCUUGCUAUUCAUCAACCAUCAAUGCAAAAUCAACCAAAAAAGGGACUAGCUCGAAGGAUUUUGUUCCAAAUAAACAAGUUUUGAUGGCUGAUGAUGAUGAGAAUGAGGUUGAUCUUGAUGAGUUGUAUGCAGCAACAGACAAUGAGAAGAAAGUGUCAGAAUUGGAUCUAUACAUGAGUGAGGGCCUAGUGAAGGCUAAUGAAAGUGAUGCACCAUUUAAUGCCUUAUCAUGGUGGAAGGGUCAAGUGACAAAUUUCCCUAUUCUUUCUACCCUUGCUCGUGAUGUACUAUCAAUGCAGGUGUCAACUGUUGCUUCAGAGUCGGCAUUUAGCUCUGGUGGACGCGUGGUUGAUGCCUUUCGUUCGAAGCUUAAACCUGAAAUUAUUGAAGCCUUGGUUUGUACUAAGGAUUGGAAGAUUGCUUCAGAGAAAGGUUUCAUUUUAUUGUGCAUGUGUUCUUGUAUUUCUCUAUGACUAAAUGAUGAUGAUGGUUAUUGAUAUGUUUUGUUGUUCUCUAUUGGUUUCAGAUUUGGAGUGUGAAAUAAAAACUAUAGCUGAAGCUAUGAAUGCUAUGGAGGUGGACGAUGAUGUCGCGACUUGAGAUCUUCAAACAAGCAUGGAUUGCUUGCACUAUUUUAUGCCAUUUGAAAACUACCUUUUAUUGUAAUAGUCUAU